CUGGCGGCGUGCCUACACAUGCAAGUCGAACGGGGAUACGUUUUCGGAUGUAUUCUAGUGGCGCACGGGUGAGUAACGCGUGAGCGACCUGACCCAAAGAGGGGGAUAACAUCGAGAAAUCGAUGCUAAUACCGCAUAAGACCACGGUAUCGCAUGGUACAGAGGUCAAAGGAGCAAUCCGCUUUGGGAGGGGCUCGCGUCCCAUUAGAUAGUAGGCGGGGUAACGGCCCACCUAGUCAACGAUGGGUAGCCGAGCUGAGAGGCUGAUCGGCCACACGGGAACUGAGACACGGUCCAGACUCCUACGGGAGGCAGCAGUGGGAAAUAUUGGGCAAUGGGCGAAAGCCUGACCCAGCAACGCCGCGUGAGGGAAGAAGGUUUUCGGAUUGUAAACCUCUGUCGCAGAUGACGAAGGAAGUGACGGUAAUCUGUGAGGAAGCCCCGGCUAACUACGUGCCAGCAGCCGCGGUAAUACGUAGGGGGCGAGCGUUGUCCGGAAUUACUGGGCGUAAAGGGUGCGUAGGCGGUUGAUUAAGUUGGAUGUGAAAUACCCGGGCUUAACCUGGGGGGUGCAUUCAAAACUGGUCAACUAGAGUUCAGGAGAGGGAAGCGGAAUUCCUAGUGUAGCGGUGAAAUGCGUAGAUAUUAGGAGGAACACCAGUGGCGAAGGCGGCUUUCUGGACUGACACUGACGCUGAGGCACGAAAGCGUGGGGAGCAAACAGGAUUAGAUACCCUGGUAGUCCACGCGGUAAACGAUGAAUACUAGGUGUAGGGGGUAUCAACUCCCUCUGUGCCGCAGCAAACGCAAUAAGUAUCCCGCCUGGGGAGUACGGCCGCAAGGUUGAAC
Molecule: ribosomal RNA, 849 nt
Filed under: uncultured bacterium
Lineage: Bacteria
Description: bacterial SSU rRNA
Rfam family: Bacterial small subunit ribosomal RNA
Source: RNAcentral